Molecule: long non-coding RNA, 494 nt
Organism: Myotis brandtii (Brandt's bat)
Lineage: Eukaryota; Metazoa; Chordata; Mammalia; Chiroptera; Vespertilionidae
Exons: 3
Source: RefSeq, a predicted model, not a curated record
GGUCACGCUGCACACCAGUAGGCGGUGAUUGGCCCUGGGCGGUGCAAUCGCAACUUGUGCGUCACUACGCCGCCAGCUGAUCGGAGACUGGAGCCGGUGUGUGCUGGGCGCUGGGAAGAGAGCGCCGCCGGCCGUGGGGCACGGACGCACUGAUUUGCUCCCCUGUCCUCAGCACCCCCCGCACACACCCAGCACCAGGAGCCUGUACCUCCCACACCCUCACCUGGCUGAGCCGCAGUAGUUCUUCAGUGGCAAGCUUUAUGUCCUGACCCAGCUAAAGCUGCCAGUUGAAGAACUGUUGCCCUCUGCCGCUGGCUUCAAGGAGGAGAAGGAGCUGCUUUCCCGCUCAUCUGGAAGGUGACAGAACUGGGGCUGGGAAGGUCUGAACAGCAGGAGUGAUCAUGGUGAGGUCCAGAAGUAAGCUUGCCUCUUCCUGCCAUCUCAGUAGUCAUACCUCUGCUCUUAACCUUUCCCUGCAUUUCCUUAGACUGGCC